UUCAUCGAAUAUUUCAGAUUGUGCAAAGAUAAAAUCAACAUUGUAUUGUAUCAAACAGGGAACAAACAGAAUAGGUUGUUGCCACCACCAUAGGCAGCAUACGGCUGACACAUAAAUAUAUUUGGUAUUAUAUAUGAUGCAAAACUAAUCUCGAGCACUGAUUUACUCAUUGACACAAAACUGACUAAAAGAUCAGUCCUAGCUUUUUGUUCAUUUACAGACUGAAGUCUAGCAAUCUCAAUUCCAUAGCUAAGCGAUGAUGCACUUGCGACCGAGCAAGUGAGCAAAACCCCUCAAGUUGUGACUAUCAUCGCCGACAUGUAUGCACCAUACACACACCCCUUCCACUUGUCUCACUCAUCCAUGUCUCCGGGUUCACUCUUAGCUUAUCAUAACUCAGAUCCCAUCUGUUAUUGUGCACAACUUCUAACUUUGGUGACCUUCUUUGUCGAGGUUACUAUCAUCAACCUUUUCUUCCUCUCAUCAAUGGAUCGCGUAAUGGUACGACUAUAAAUUCAGGGCAAACAUCCCAUCAGCAAAAUUAAAGCUAUCCAGGUUUACCAUUGUAGAAUCCAAAUAGUCAGGACAAAUUGCAGGAUUGCCCACAGCUGGUGUUUAUCAUGCUCUUUUCUUUGUGUAGAACACCUAGGUGAAAAUAAACAGGUGUAGAAACUCGAGAAUACAUACGCAAACGACAUACCUUUUUCUUCUAAUUGCAGAUGCACAAAUCGGAAGGAAAUGUUGAAAACAAAUCUAUUCAACCUAUUGUAAAGUCACUAUAUAAGUACAGAAGAACAUAUGCCUUGACAGGAAAUUGCACUUGUAUACUAUUAUUCAAGAAAUUGUCACAUAGAGAAACUAAUCAGACCAUUAGGUAGUUAAUUUUGAGUGAAAAAAACACAGAUCUCAUCAUGAUAUGAUCGUGGCAUGAAGCACUCAACGGUUUCUCCUGAACAUGCUUGUUGUGGCUAACUCAUCUAAAAGUGGAAUAUGAGUAACACUUUGUAGGCACAAACUUAUUGUGGUAACUAAAUUGGUUUAUCUUCCUCUCUCUUGUGUCGUCAACUAACAAUAAUCAUAACCUAGUUAGACAUUUAUAGAACAAGGAAAAUACAAAAGAGAUGGAUUAAUUUCCGAUCAAUGGGAUGUAUGCUCUUGAUAUAAUUGGAAAAAAAAUGGAUCUCAGAUCGAUAAGAUGUAUGCUCUUAGAAUUAUUGAAACCACCAUGUGCACUUUGGUAAUAAAUCUGGGCUCUAUGCAAACAACAAAAUUUCUCCUAUUAUUUUGUUGAUAUAAAUCUAGGCUCUGUGUGCAUCAUUGUGAUGCAAAGGCCAGUGACUCGCCUCACUUUUUUUAAAUAACAUGAUUGCUCCUAUUUUCAGUAGGCAACAUCUGUGCUGCUACAUAACUAAGUGAACUUCUAUGAAAAAAUAGUGGAGGGCCGCUCACCGGACGACACACCUAUCUGUGCAUCGCUCCACUGCUUCAAGACAUAAUAUGACUUUUAGACUAAAUGGACAUGCAACUUUGUUUUCAUCAAGGAACUGAAUGAUGUCAAUUAUAGACCGCAAGUUUCUCAAGUUCAAGAACAACCAACACCAAGGGAGUUCAGCAAAGAAUCUAUGACAUUACCAAAAGAUCAGACCUAGCUUUUUCAAGCAGAACAAAUACGAAUUUACAGUAAAAAGGUUCAGUACAGGACCAUAUUCUUAACAUGCAAUGAAUGUUUCUUGCCUAUUUCAAUUCUUUUGAUCUAGUUUAUCUUUGUAAAGAGCAUGUCUUCCUCUUUUGGCAUACUUGAGAUGGAUAUUGUGAUGCAACAAAAGGAGCAUCACAAAUAUUUCUACCAAAAUAUGAAUCUUUCAGGCUCGAAUCAAACAGGGAGCAAACAGGAUUUCUUCGUGAACUUACCUGUUCAUGGAGUUGAAUCAAAAAGAGAGAAAACAGAGAAUCAAACAGAAGUGUAGCAUCUCAAAUAUUUACAAUCACUGAAAACUAUCUACCCAAUUAUGAAUGGUUCAUACCAGACCAAGGAGAACUGUACUUUUUAUGACUGUAGAUGAAAAUUUUACAGAAUAAUUUGGGAAAAGCUGGCACAUACCUCAGGUGUAGCACGUUCGGACAGCGGAUGUUGUUCCGCCUCAGGUCAGGUGUAGCAGGCUCGGACGGCGGAGGUUCUUCCGGCGAAUUCUGCGCGAUAUUGGACGGUUCUUCGAAAGUUGUGAUGCGAGGUGAUUUACUGGGGAUUUCCGUCAAGGGCUCGGUCUUAUGGCAUCCAAGUCCCUGUGGAGUUCGGGCUGGGCACUCCGUCUUGAAGAAGUUGUCCCGCACGAACACGGACACCGACUUCGAUGCAAAUUGGAGAUAGACGGCAGCAGGAGGUAGGAGGUAGAGGAGGCUGUGGUGGCGCCGGAGAAGAUUGGGGGCGGACGGGGAGGGGGAGAGCAACAGGGCGGCGGCAAGUCGGUGAGGAAGACCAGCCGCGCGUGGCGGCGGCGGCGCCGCCGGUG
RNAcentral lists this long non-coding RNA (2510 nucleotides) under Triticum aestivum (bread wheat). RNAcentral describes it as "long non-coding RNA (TAES_LNC006496)". The record is from RNAcentral. Lineage: Eukaryota; Viridiplantae; Streptophyta; Magnoliopsida; Poales; Poaceae.